RNAcentral lists this ribosomal RNA (494 nucleotides) under uncultured bacterium. Its description in RNAcentral is "partial 16S ribosomal RNA". It matches the Rfam family "Bacterial small subunit ribosomal RNA", at positions 28 to 507 of the family's 1533-position model. The record is from RNAcentral.
GACGAACGCUGGCGGCGUGCUUAACACAUGCAAGUCGAACGGUGAAGCGCCUUCCUUUUUGGUGGGUGUGGAUGAGUGGCGAACGGGUGAGUAACACGUGAGUAACCUGCCCCCUUCUUCUGGAUAACCGCAUGAAAGUGUGGCUAAUACGGGAUAUUCUGGGUCUGUCGCAUGAUGGGUCUGGGAAAGAUAUUGUUUCGGUGGGGGAUGGGCUCGCGGCCUAUCAGCUUGUUGGUGGGGUGAUGGCCUACCAAGGCGGUGACGGGUAGCCGGCCUGAGGGGGUGGACGGUCACACUGGGACUGAGACACGGCCCAGACUCCUACGGGAGGCAGCAGUGGGGAAUAUUGCACAAUGGGCGCAAGCCUGACGCAGCGACGCCGCGUGAGGGAUGGAGGCCUGCGGGUUGUGAACCCCCUUCGCCAGUGAAGCAGGCCUGCCUCGUUUGUGGGUGGGUUGACGGUAGCUGGAUAAGAAGCGCCGGCUAACUACGUG